GACGAACGCUGGCGGCGUGCUUAACACAUGCAAGUCGAACGGUAAGGCCCUUCGGGGUACGACGAGUGGCGAACGGGUGAGUAACACGUGGGUGAUCUGCCCUGCACUUCGGGAUAAGCCUGGGAAACUGGGUCUAAUACCGGAUAGGACCAUGGACUUCACGGUUUGUGGUGGAAAGCUUUUGCGGUGUGGGAUGGGCCCGCGGCCUAUCAGCUUGUUGGUGGGGUAAUGGCCUACCAAGGCGACGACGGGUAGCCGGCCUGAGAGGGUGUCCGGCCACACUGGGACUGAGAUACGGCCCAGACUCCUACGGGAGGCAGCAGUGGGGAAUAUUGCACAAUGGGCGCAAGCCUGAUGCAGCGACGCCGCGUGA
Molecule: ribosomal RNA, 373 nt
Filed under: uncultured bacterium
Lineage: Bacteria
Description: bacterial SSU rRNA
Rfam family: Bacterial small subunit ribosomal RNA
Source: RNAcentral